This 331-nucleotide ribosomal RNA is filed under the name Timon tangitanus. RNAcentral's name for it is "partial 12S ribosomal RNA". The record is from RNAcentral. Lineage: Eukaryota; Metazoa; Chordata; Lepidosauria; Squamata; Lacertidae.
CUCAAAGGACUUGACGGUAUCCCAUAUCGACCUAGAGGAGCCUGUCCUAUAAUCGAUACCCCCCGCUCCACCCAACCUUAACUAGCACAACAGCAGCCUAUAUACCGCCGUCGAUCAGCCUACCCUAUGAAGGUCUAACAGUAGACACAAUAGCCCAACCGCUAAUACGUCAGGUCAAGGUGUAGCUAAUGUUAUGGAAGAGAUUGGCUACAUUUUUUAUGAUAAAAAACACGAAAAGUAUUAUGAAACAAUACAUGAAGGUGAAUUUAGUAGUAAAAUAGAUAAGAGUGUCUAUUUUAACAACGCUCUGGGAUGCGUACACACCGCCCGU